RNAcentral lists this long non-coding RNA (827 nucleotides) under Calidris pugnax (ruff). RNAcentral's name for it is "lncRNA (ENSCPUG00000015290.1)". Lineage: Eukaryota; Metazoa; Chordata; Aves; Charadriiformes; Scolopacidae. The record is from RNAcentral.
CCUGCCUUUCCUUGGUUCAUACUUAAUUUGUAUUUUCUGUCUUCCUCUGCCCUCUUUCCCAUUUUAGCAGGUUUUAAGGACAUUUCUGCUACUGCUGCCUGUCUCACAACUUUUCUGUGUACUUACCGUCCCAUGACUGUGACAGGAAUCACGAUCUCAGUACACGAUGGAAGGCUGGCUUUGAAGAUAACUCCUUCUCUGCUCUCAAGUUAUUGACUUUUCUCUCAGCUCAGGUUUCUCUCCUAUUACUGUUACCACCUUUUUCCCACAGAAGGGCGUAUUCAGAUUCCUAAAGAAGGCUUUGAAAGGGAUCCAAAGAGGCAAUCACAUGCAUGUGCAACUAUUUUUUCACCAGGCAAGAAUAUAUGGAAUGUGAAUGGAGGUUCAGCAUAGCUCUGCGAAUAGCUAAUAGAAGAGCAGAGAACUGAGACACCAGCUCUCAUCUUGGCUGUAUUACAAAUCAGUUACAAGUGCAACCUGCAACUCAAAACCACACAGCUGAUUUAAAAUUAUGCAAGCAAGCAGUUCAGCUAAUUGUAUAAUGAUACCUAAAUUACUGAGAUCACCCUGCCUGGAAAGGUCCUCUGUCCUGACUAGGAGGAAACAACUGUUAACUGCACAGAACAAAACAACUCUUCCAUUGCAACUGUUCUAAUUAGAAGUGAUCAGGUUUGAAUCAGGACGCUGCCAUUUGAAUGAUAGUACCGACUGAUUUGGAGACAGUAAUACCAUCUGAUGCUGUGCGUGAGGAACAUGCCCAGCUGGAGAAGCUUUGAAGCAGUCUGAGUAGGAGAGUGAAGCUCUGUGAUAUAAUUAUUCUGGAAAAU